RNAcentral lists this ribosomal RNA (403 nucleotides) under Raoulserenea komaii. RNAcentral describes it as "partial 16S ribosomal RNA". It matches the Rfam family "Bacterial large subunit ribosomal RNA", at positions 1955 to 2557 of the family's 2925-position model. Lineage: Eukaryota; Metazoa; Arthropoda; Malacostraca; Stomatopoda; Pseudosquillidae. The record is from RNAcentral.
GGUAGCAUAAUCAUUAGUCUUUUAAUUAAAGGCUUGUAUGAAUGGUCGGACAAGAUGGGGGCUGUCUCAAUGUAAAAUUUAUAAUUUAAUGAUUAAGUAAAAAAGCUUAAAUAAAACAGAGUGACGAUAAGACCCUAUAAAGCUUUAUAGUAUGAGUUUUUUUUAUAAAUUAACGUGAUAUUAACGUACUUAAGUUUUCUUACUAUUUUACUGGGGCGGUAAAAGUAUAAUGGAUUAACUGCUUUUUCUGUGUAAAACAAGGAUGUUUGAAAUAUAAUUGAUCCACAAUUAGUGAUUAUAAAACUAAGUUACUUUAGGGAUAACAGCGUAAUUUUUUUUGAGAGUCCUUAUCGAAAAAAAAGUUUGCGACCUCGAUGUUGAAUUAAGGAAACCUUACGGUGCA